UACGGAGGGUGCUAGCGUUAAUCGGAUUUAUUGGGCGUAAAGGGCGCGUAGGCGGACGAAAAAGUCGGACGUGAAAUCCCAGGGCUUAACCCUGGAACAGCAUCCGAAACUUUUUGUCUAGAGGGUAGGCGGAGAAAACGGAAUUCCACAAGUAGCGGUGAAAUGCGUAGAUAUGUGGAAGAACACCGGUGGCGAAGGCGGUUUUCUAGCUUAUUCCUGACGCUGAGGCGCGAGAGCAAGGGGAGCAAACAGG
This 253-nucleotide ribosomal RNA is filed under the name uncultured bacterium. Its description in RNAcentral is "partial 16S ribosomal RNA". It matches the Rfam family "Bacterial small subunit ribosomal RNA", at positions 524 to 776 of the family's 1533-position model. The record is from RNAcentral.